UGGGGAAUCUUCCGCAAUGGACGAAAGUCUGACGGAGCAACGCCGCGUGAGUGAUGACGGUCUUCGGAUUGUAAAGCUCUGUUAAUCGGGACGAAUGGUUUGUGUGCAAAUAGUGCAUAGACAUGACGGUACCGGAAUAGAAAGCCACGGCUAACUACGUGCCAGCAGCCGCGGUAAUACGUAGGUGGCAAGCGUUGUCCGGAAUUAUUGGGCGUAAAGCGCGCGCAGGCGGACUAGCCAGUCAGUCUUAAAAGUUCGGGGCUUAACCCCGUGAUGGGAUUGAAACUACUAGUCUAGAGUAUCGGAGAGGAAAGUGGAAUUCCUAGUGUAGCGGUGAAAUGCGUAGAUAUUAGGAAGAACACCGGUGGCGAAGGCGGCCUUCUGGGCCAUAACUGACGCUGAGGAGCGAAAGCUAGGGGAGCGAACAGG
RNAcentral lists this ribosomal RNA (429 nucleotides) under Verrucomicrobiota bacterium. RNAcentral's name for it is "Verrucomicrobia bacterium partial 16S ribosomal RNA". It matches the Rfam family "Bacterial small subunit ribosomal RNA", at positions 355 to 776 of the family's 1533-position model. The record is from RNAcentral. Lineage: Bacteria; Pseudomonadati; Verrucomicrobiota.